Molecule: ribosomal RNA, 495 nt
Filed under: uncultured Stenotrophomonas sp.
Lineage: Bacteria; Pseudomonadati; Pseudomonadota; Gammaproteobacteria; Lysobacterales; Lysobacteraceae
Description: bacterial SSU rRNA
Rfam family: Bacterial small subunit ribosomal RNA
Source: RNAcentral
AGUAAGGCCUUCGGGUUGUAAAGCCCUUUUGUUGGGAAAGAAAUCCAGCCGGCUAAUACCUGGUUGGGCAUGACGGUACCCAUAGAAUAAGCACCGGCUAACUUCGUGCCAGCAGCCGCGGUAAUACGAAGGGUGCAAGCGUUACUCGGAAUUACUGGGCGUAAAGCGUGCGUAGGUGGUUGUUUAAGUCUGUUGUGAAAGCCCUGGGCUCAACCUGGGAACUGCAGUGGAAACUGGGCAGACUAGAGUGUGGUAGAGGGUAGUGGAAUUCCCGGUGUAGCAGUGAAAUGCGUAUAGAUCGGGAGGAACAUCCAUGGCGAAGGCAGCUACCUGGACCAACACUGACACUGAGGCACGAAAGCGUGGGGAGCAAACAGGAUUAGAUACCCUGGUAGUCCACGCCCUAAACGAUGCGAACUGGAUGUUGGGUGCAAUUUGGCACGCAGUAUCNAANCUAACGCGUUAAGUUCGCCGCCUGGGGAGUACGGUCGCAAG